ACAAGGAUUCCCCUAGUAACUGCGAGUGAAGCGGGAAAAGCUCAAAUUUAAAAUCUGGCGGCUUCGUCGUCCGAGUUGUAAUCUAGAGAAGUGUUACCCGCGUUGGACCGUGUACAAGUCUCCUGGAAUGGAGCGUCAUAGAGGGUGAGAAUCCCGUCUUUGACACGGACUACCAAGGCUUUGUGGUGCGCUCUCAAAGAGUCGAGUUGUUUGGGAAUGCAGCUCAAAAUGGGUGGUAAAUGCCAUCUAAAGCUAAAUAUUGGCGAGAGACCGAUAGCGAACAAGUACCGUGAGGGAAAGAUGAAAAGAACUUUGGAAAGAGAGUUAAACAGUACGUGAAAUUGCUGAAAGGGAAACGCUUGAAGUCAGUCACGCUGCCUGAAAUCAACCUUGCUUCUGCUUGGUGUACUUUCUGGUUGCGGGUCAACAUCAAUUUUGAUCAGUGGAUAAAGGCUGUGGAAAUGUGGCUCCCUCGGGAGUGUUAUAGUCUGCUGUUGUAUACACUGAUUGGGAUUGAGGAACUCAGCGCGCCGCAAGGCCGGGAUUCGUCCACGUUCGCGCUUAGGAUGUUGGCAUAAUGGCUUUAAUCGACCCGUCUUGAAACACGGACCAAGGAGUCUAACAUGCCUGCGAGUAUUUGGGUGGAAAACCCGAGUGCGCAAUGAAAGUAAAAAUUGAGAUCCCUGUCGUGGGGAGCAUCGAUGCCCGGACCAGAUGUUUACUGACGGAUCCGCGGUUGAGCAUGUAUGUUNGGGACCCGAAAGAUGGUGAACUAUGCCUGAAUANGGUGAAGCCAGAGGA
Molecule: ribosomal RNA, 801 nt
Filed under: Simocybe sumptuosa
Lineage: Eukaryota; Fungi; Basidiomycota; Agaricomycetes; Agaricales; Crepidotaceae
Description: eukaryotic LSU rRNA
Rfam family: Eukaryotic large subunit ribosomal RNA
Source: RNAcentral